This 624-nucleotide ribosomal RNA is filed under the name Cortinarius suecicolor. Its description in RNAcentral is "eukaryotic LSU rRNA". The stretch from base 255 to 408 matches the Rfam family "5.8S ribosomal RNA". The record is from RNAcentral. Lineage: Eukaryota; Fungi; Basidiomycota; Agaricomycetes; Agaricales; Cortinariaceae.
UGACCUGCGGAGGAUCAUUAUUGAAAUAAACCUGAUGGGUUGCUGCUGGUUCUYUAAUGGRCAUGUGCACACCUGUCAUCUUUAUAUCUCCACCUGUGCACCUUUUGUAGACCUGGAUAAGUUUCUUAAUGCUAGCAUUAAGGUCUGAGGAUUGACUUUUGUCUCUCCUUACAUUUCCGGGCCUAUGUUUAUUCAUAUACCCCAUGUAUGUUAUAGAAUGUAAUAAUUGGGCCUUUGUGCCUAUAACACUAUACAACUUUCAGCAACGGAUCUCUUGGCUCUCGCAUCGAUGAAGAACGCAGCGAAAUGCGAUAAGUAAUGUGAAUUGCAGAAUUCAGUGAAUCAUCGAAUCUUUGAACGCACCUUGCGCUCCUUGGUAUUCCGAGGAGCAUGCCUGUUUGAGUGUCAUUAAUAUAUCAACCUCUUYUAGCUUUUGCUUGUUGAGUGCUGGAUGUGGGGGUAUCUUUUGCUGGUCUUUUAAGAGAUCAGCUCCCCUAAAAUGCAUUAGCGGAACAAUUUGUUGACCGUCAUUGGUGUGAUAAUUAUCUACGCUAUUGAUGUGAAGGCAGUUCAGCUUCUAAUAGUCCAUUGACUUGGACAAUUUUCAUUAAUGUGACCUCAAAU